Transfer RNA from Heterobasidion irregulare TC 32-1, 72 nucleotides. It matches the Rfam family "tRNA". Rfam says of the family: Transfer RNA (tRNA) molecules are approximately 80 nucleotides in length. Their secondary structure includes four short double-helical elements and three loops (D, anti-codon, and T loops). The record is from Rfam. Lineage: Eukaryota; Fungi; Basidiomycota; Agaricomycetes; Russulales; Bondarzewiaceae.
UCUCUGGUAGUAUAUCGGUUAGUACACGCGCCUGUCACGCGCGAAAGCGGGGUUCGACUCCCCGCCAGAGAG